RNAcentral lists this ribosomal RNA (253 nucleotides) under uncultured bacterium. Its description in RNAcentral is "partial 16S ribosomal RNA". It matches the Rfam family "Bacterial small subunit ribosomal RNA", at positions 524 to 776 of the family's 1533-position model. The record is from RNAcentral.
GACGUAGGGGGCCAGCGUUGUUCGGAAUUACUGGGUGUAAAGGGUUCGUAGGCGGUGCGGCAAGUCGGGAGUGAAAUCUCUGGGCUUAACCCAGAGGCUGCUUCCGAAACUGCUGUGCUUGAGUGUGGGAGAGGCGCGUGGAAUUGCAGGUGUAGCGGUGAAAUGCGUAGAUAUCUGCAGGAACACCCGUGGCGAAAGCGGCGCGCUGGACCACUACUGACGCUGAGGAACGAAGGCUAGGGGAGCAAACAGG